This 406-nucleotide ribosomal RNA is filed under the name uncultured bacterium. RNAcentral's name for it is "partial 16S ribosomal RNA". It matches the Rfam family "Bacterial small subunit ribosomal RNA", at positions 30 to 526 of the family's 1533-position model. The record is from RNAcentral.
AUUGAACGCUGGCGGCAGGCCUAACACAUGCAAGUCGAACGAGUGGCGGACGGGUGAGUAAUGUCUGGGAAACUGCCUGAUGGAGGGGGAUAACUACUGGAAACGGUAGCUAAUACCGCAUACCAUCGGAUGUUCCCCGAUGGGAUUAGCUAUUUGGUGGGGUAACGGCUCACCUAGGCGACGAUCCCUAGCUGGUCUGAGAGGAUGACCAGCCACACGGGAACUUAGACACGGUCCAGUCUCCUACGGGAGGCAGCAGUGGGCAAUAUUGCACAAUGGGCGCAAGCCUGAUGCAGCCAUGCCGCUUGUAUGAAGAAGGCCUUCGUGUUGUAAAGUACUUUCAGCGGGGAGGCGUUACCCGCAGAAGAAGCACCGGCUAACUCCGUGCCAGCAGCCGCGGUAAUAC